UCCUCGAUGGCUCAGUCGGAUAGAGCAUCUGCCUUGUAAGCAGGACAUCCCGGGUUUGAGUUCCGGUCGGGGCA
Molecule: non-coding RNA, 74 nt
Organism: Schistocerca gregaria
Lineage: Eukaryota; Metazoa; Arthropoda; Insecta; Orthoptera; Acrididae
Source: the annotation of a RefSeq genome assembly